AAUGAACGUUGGCGGCGUGGAUUAGGCAUGCAAGUCGAGCGAGAAGGGGCUGCUCAUCCGACCCAUUUAGCCGCCGGUCAUCGACCGGCGGUUGGAGUGGUUCAGAUGAGUAGCCCCGGAAAGCGGCGAAAGGGAGAGUAACGCGUAGUUACGUGCCCCAGGGUUCGGAAUAGCCCGCCGAAAGGCGGAGUAAUGCCGAAUAACAUCUCCGGAUCAAAGGUGUGAUUCCGCCCUGGGAGCGGACUGCGUCCUACUAGCUAGUUGGCGGGGUAAUGGCCCACCAAGGCAACAAUGGGUAGCGGGUGUGAGAGCAUGACCCGUCUCACUGGGACUGAGACACUGCCCAGACACCUACGGGUGGCUGCAGUCGAGAAUCUUCGGCAAUGAGCGCAAGCUUGACCGAGCGACGCCGCGUGUGGGAUGAAGGCCCUCGGGUUGUAAACCACUGUCGUAGGGGAGGAAGGCUCCGUGAAGAACGGGGUUUGACCUAUCCUAGGAGGAAGGACGGGCUAAGUUCGUGCCAGCCGCCGCCG
RNAcentral lists this ribosomal RNA (533 nucleotides) under uncultured bacterium. RNAcentral's name for it is "bacterial SSU rRNA". It matches the Rfam family "Bacterial small subunit ribosomal RNA", at positions 28 to 520 of the family's 1533-position model. The record is from RNAcentral.